UGGGGAAUUUUGGACAAUGGGCGAAAGCCUGAUCCAGCAAUGCCGCGUGUGUGAAGAAGGCCUUCGGGUUGUAAAGCACUUUUGUCCGGAAAGAAAUCCUUGGCUCUAAUACAGUCGGGGGAUGACGGUACCGGAAGAAUAAGCACCGGCUAACUACGUGCCAGCAGCCGCGGUAAUACGUAGGGUGCAAGCGUUAAUCGGAAUUACUGGGCGUAAAGCGUGCGCAGGCGGUUUGCUAAGACCGAUGUGAAAUCCCCGGGCUCAACCUGGGAACUGCAUUGGUGACUGGCAGGCUAGAGUAUGGCAGAGGGGGGUAGAAUUCCACGUGUAGCAGUGAGAUGCGUAGAGAUGUGGAGGAAUACCGAUGGCGAAGGCAGCCCCCUGGGCCAAUACUGACGCUCAUGCACGAAAGCGUGGGGAGCAAACAGGAUUAGAUACCCUGGUAGUCCACGCCCUAAACGAUGUCAACUAGUUGUUGGGGAUUCAUUUCCUUAGUAACGUAGCUAACGCGUGAAGUUGACCGCCUGGGGAGUACGGUCGCAAGAUUAAAACUCAAAGGAAUUGACGGGGU
Molecule: ribosomal RNA, 571 nt
Filed under: uncultured bacterium
Lineage: Bacteria
Description: partial 16S ribosomal RNA
Rfam family: Bacterial small subunit ribosomal RNA
Source: RNAcentral